AAAAAAAUAAAUUCUAGAUUUUCGUGUCCAACGUUUAACUGUCCGUCUUAUAUGAAAAAUUUUUAUAAUUAGUAUUUUCAUUGUUGUUAUAUGAUAAAAUAUGAUUAAUACUUUAUGCGUAACUUGUCUUUUUAAUUUUUUUCAUAAUUUUUUCAAAUAAUAUUGUCGGUGAUAUGGGACCGGGAGUAUCAUGACU
Molecule: microRNA precursor, 196 nt
Filed under: Oryza rufipogon (brownbeard rice)
Lineage: Eukaryota; Viridiplantae; Streptophyta; Magnoliopsida; Poales; Poaceae
Description: MIR812 microRNA precursor family
Rfam family: MIR812 microRNA precursor family
Source: Rfam by way of RNAcentral